Molecule: transfer RNA, 85 nt
Filed under: Felis catus (domestic cat)
Lineage: Eukaryota; Metazoa; Chordata; Mammalia; Carnivora; Felidae
Rfam family: tRNA
About the family: Transfer RNA (tRNA) molecules are approximately 80 nucleotides in length.
Source: Rfam by way of RNAcentral
ACCUGGGUGGCUCAGUUGGUUGAGCGUCUGACUUCGGCUCAGGUCACGAUUUCAUGGUUUGUGGGUUCAAGCCCCACAUCAGGCU